Molecule: ribosomal RNA, 426 nt
Filed under: uncultured eukaryote
Lineage: Eukaryota
Description: partial 18S ribosomal RNA
Rfam family: Eukaryotic small subunit ribosomal RNA
Source: RNAcentral
UAAAUAACAAUGAUUCAAUGAUAACAAAGUUGAAUUAAUUGGAAUGAGAACAAUAUAAAUCCCUUAUCGAGUAACAAUUUCAGGGGCAAGUUCUGGUGCCAGCAGCCGCGGUAAUUCCAGCUAGAAAAAGCGUAUACGAAUAUUGUUGCAGUUAAAACGCUCGUAGUUGGAAUAAAAUAUAAAAUAAACAAUAAAUUUAACAGUGUUAAUUUUAUUAUUUAUUUUAUUUUUUUAAUUUUAUAUUUUUUAAGUCAUUAAAAAAUAUAUAUUUUACUUUGAAUAAAUUAGAGUGCUUUAAGCAGAUUGAUUUUUUUCAAAAAUCAUUUAAAAAAUGUUUGAAUAAUUUAGCAUAGAAUAAAAUAAUAAGAUUUGAAAGAUAAGAUUUGGUAAUUAUGUAGCAAAUAAUGAUAAAUAGGAAUAGUUGGG